UUAUUUGACUUUGCACUCUAUUUUAG
RNAcentral lists this non-coding RNA (26 nucleotides) under Cricetulus griseus (Chinese hamster). Lineage: Eukaryota; Metazoa; Chordata; Mammalia; Rodentia; Cricetidae. The record is from RNAcentral.